Molecule: long non-coding RNA, 934 nt
Filed under: Oreochromis niloticus (Nile tilapia)
Lineage: Eukaryota; Metazoa; Chordata; Actinopteri; Cichliformes; Cichlidae
Description: lncRNA (ENSONIG00000039592.1)
Source: RNAcentral
CGAGUCCCCACGUGUGCUACUUUAGCAAAGGAAACAUCUUCAGAUGUAUUUCGGCUCGUCCUACAUUUCUCAAAACGUUCACCUUUUCUCAUCUUUCCCUUGUGAGUCAUUUAUAUGUGAAACCAGGGCAGGCAAGAAUACUCUCCGCUGAUCACUCUCCACCCUCAAUUUUCUAAGCUCGUGUUUGCGUGUUUUUGCUUUUGGUUGUUUAAAGAGUUUCUGACGUUUUCCUUGUUAUCCCGCAGCGUUGUGUACGCGUGUGAUCUCCGCACAGAAGGAUGUGCAUCUAGGCUUGUUUUUUAUCAAACGAUGAAACACGGUGUAUUUAUGCACCCGUCUCUUCUAGCUGCGGCAUGUUUUCACGUUGGAUCUUACUCUACUACUUCUUACCCCGACAUCAUUACUCUCCGCUUUAAUCCCUCCCCACCUCUCUUUUUACCCACUGUUUCCUCCAGGGAUGUGACUUAUGCUGCACCGACUCUUUGUACAUACAGCACAGGUAUCUCUGAGAAUAGACGGCAGUGUCUUUCUUGGUUCUUCAGGGAGCGGGGAAAAGCAAAGGGAGCCCUGAAGCUGUCUCACAGGCACAAAACCAGAAGAGGAAAAAAGUGUAAGAAUGAUUGAUCUCUCCAUCGGUGAUAAGAAGCUCUUCUCCAUCAUGCGCCUGCUGCCACCUCCGUCCCACUUUCCCUGAGCUAUCAUAGCGGGCCUGUCUGAGAGGCCCAUGAUAACGACAGGCCUGGGACACAAAGGUAAAUCAAUCUCAGCGAGGGGAAGCAGAUGGAGGACUGUGAGUGUGUGUGUGUGUGUGUGUGUGUGUGUACAUCAGUGUAUCCUGCCUUUUCAACAGCUGAUAUGUAGAUGUUACCACAAAUCUGCACAAACAUUUCCAUGCGAUAAGAAACAUAAAUCGCACUGCCAGUUACGUCUGAAU